Non-coding RNA from Picea glauca (white spruce), 46 nucleotides. NCBI's taxonomy places the organism in Eukaryota, Viridiplantae, Streptophyta, Pinopsida, Pinales, Pinaceae. The record is from Rfam.
GUAAUGGUGUCUUUAGACACCACCUUUUAACUUAAAAAGAAAAUUG